AGAGUUUGAUCAUGGCUCAGAGCGAACGCUGGCGGCAGGCCUAAUACAUGCAAGUCGAACGGCUCUUCGGAGCAGUGGCGGACGGGUGAGUAACGCGUGGGAACGUGCCCUUUGGUUCGGUACAACACAGGGAAACUUGUGCUAAUACCGAAUGUGCCCUUCGGGGGAAAGAUUUAUCGCCAUUGGAGCGGCCCGCGUUGGAUUAGCUAGUUGGUGGGGUAAAGGCCCACCAAGGCUACGAUCCAUAGCUGGUCUGAGAGGAUGAUCAGCCACACUGGGACUGAGACACGGCCCAGACUCCUACGGGAGGCAGCAGUAGGGAAUCUUGCGCAAUGGGCGAAAGCCUGACGCAGCCAUGCCGCGUGAAUGAUGAAGGUCUUAGGAUUGUAAAAUUCUUUCACCGGGGAAGAUAAUGACGGUACCCGGAGAAGAAGCCCCGGCUAACUUCGUGCCAGCAGCCGCGGUAAUACGAAGGGGGCUAGCGUUGCUCGGAAUUACUGGGCGUAAAGGGCGCGUAGGCGGACAUUUAAGUCAGAGGUGAAAGCCCAGGGCUCAACCUUGGAAUUGCCUUUGAUACUGGAUGUCUUGAGUUCGGGAGAGGUGAGUGGAAUGCCGAGUGUAGAGGUGAAAUUCGUAGAUAUUCGGCGGAACACCAGUGGCGAAGGCGACUCACUGGCCCGAUACUGACGCUGAGGCGCGAAAGCGUGGGGAGCAAACAGGAUUAGAUACCCCGGUAGUCCAA
This 742-nucleotide ribosomal RNA is filed under the name uncultured bacterium. RNAcentral's name for it is "bacterial SSU rRNA". It matches the Rfam family "Bacterial small subunit ribosomal RNA", at positions 8 to 798 of the family's 1533-position model. The record is from RNAcentral.